This 495-nucleotide ribosomal RNA is filed under the name uncultured bacterium. RNAcentral's name for it is "partial 16S ribosomal RNA". It matches the Rfam family "Bacterial small subunit ribosomal RNA", at positions 28 to 507 of the family's 1533-position model. The record is from RNAcentral.
GACGAACGCUGGCGGCGUGCCUAAUACAUGCAAGUAGAACGCUGAAGGAGGAGCUUGCUUCUCUGGAUGAGUUGCGAACGGGUGAGUAACGCGUAGGUAACCUGCCUGGUAGCGGGGGAUAACUAUUGGAAACGAUAGCUAAUACCGCAUAAUAGUAGAUGUUGCAUGACAUUUGCUUAAAAGGUGCAAUUGCAUCACUACCAGAUGGACCUGCGUUGUAUUAGCUAGUUGGUGGGGUAACGGCUCACCAAGGCGACGAUACAUAGCCGACCUGAGAGGGGGAUCGGCCACGCUGGGACGGAGACACGGCCCAGACUCCUACGGGAGGCAGCAGUAGGGAAUCUUCGGCAAUGGACGGAAGGCUGACCGAGCAACGCCGCGUGAGUGAAGAAGGGUUUCGGAUCGUAAAGCUCUGUUGUAAGAGAAGAACGAGUGUGAGAGUGGAAAGUUCACACUGUGACGGUAUCUUACCAGAAAGGGACGGCUAACUACGUG